RNAcentral lists this microRNA precursor (143 nucleotides) under Citrus sinensis (sweet orange). Its description in RNAcentral is "miR156b stem-loop (csi-MIR156b)". Its record names the gene csi-MIR156b. The stretch from base 30 to 112 matches the Rfam family "mir-156 microRNA precursor family". Rfam says of the family: This family represents the plant microRNA (miRNA) precursor mir-156. Animal miRNAs are transcribed as ~70nt precursors and subsequently processed by the Dicer enzyme to give a ~22nt product. Lineage: Eukaryota; Viridiplantae; Streptophyta; Magnoliopsida; Sapindales; Rutaceae. The record is from miRBase by way of RNAcentral.
UUCUCAUUCUAAUUCUUGGAACAUUGAAAUUGACAGAAGAGAGUGAGCACACAGAGGCAGUUGUAUAAUUGUAUACAUGUUGCUUUUGCGUGCUCACUGCUCUUUCUGUCAGCUUCCAGUACCGGAAUCUGACUUGGCCCUCU